RNAcentral lists this long non-coding RNA (1545 nucleotides) under Oncorhynchus kisutch (coho salmon). RNAcentral's name for it is "lncRNA (ENSOKIG00005024081.1)". Lineage: Eukaryota; Metazoa; Chordata; Actinopteri; Salmoniformes; Salmonidae. The record is from RNAcentral.
ACAGGUCUUGUUGAGGGGAGUGAAGUCACUCAGACACCCACCAUACUCUGGAAACUGAAAGACAGUGAUGCUCUGAUGAACUGCAGUCACACUAAGGGAUCUAGCUACACCAGAUGUACUGGUACAGACAGCUUCCAGGAGAGGGAAUGAAGCAGGUAGUUUACACAAGUAGUUAUAGCGAUCCAGAAUAUGGAGACUUCAGUAAAGACAAAUAUCCAACUGUUAAGGCUAUAGCUGAGAGUGGAUCUUUCACAGUGAAGAAGUUGGAGACAGGAGACAGUGGAAUGUACUUCUGUGCUGUGAGUGAACACAGUGAUACAGACAACAAGUACAGCUGCACAAAAACCCCAGUAUUUCAAUAGGAUGUAAUAUAAUAUGUAAAUAGAUGGUCUCAUCACAUACUGUAGGGGACCUCUAACUCUAGUUCUUCUAAUGUCUGAUGGUUUCAUUGUCAUGAUCAUGUAAUCAGUCAUGUUCACAGUGAGGUCCUAUGAGCAAGCUUUACAGUACAGGCUUCCUGACACUCCUUCUAACACUGUCACUAUCCACCACCCUGAAGGAAACAUGCUACUACAACAGCCAAUCUCCUUUCACCUCAGAGCUUCACCCAGGAGACACUCAUAUCACAUCCUCAUCAUCAUCGUCUUCCUCAGCAUAUUCAUCAUCUUCAUCAUCAUCAUAAUAUUUUUCUUCAUCAUGAUGUUCAGAGUUCUGAUUCACCUGGCAGCUCUACCACUCUGGGUGACAGGGCAGUUGUUUAGUAGCAUGGUUCAUCAGAGGCCUGUGGCACUAACAGAAGGUCCUGGAGGAGACGUUCAACUCACCUGCAGCCAUACGAUCCCUAACUACUACGUGAUACUAUGGUACAAACAGUCAGCAGGAGACACUGCUAUGAAACUCAUUGGUUAUGCAUAUACCAAGUCAAUAACCAUGGAGAAAUCAUUUGAAAAGCACUUUAAUGUGAGUGGAGACGGUGGGAAAGAGGCUUAUCUUCAUCUAGUGAGUCUGAGAGGACCUGAACACAGUGCAGUUUAUUACUGUGCAGCCAGCCAACACAGUGAUGUAGACUUCCUCCUGCUCUCUACUAAAACCCUGUCUGAUGAACCAUCAACAUGAUCAAGCUUCUCAUACAUGUAGCAACUCUACCACUAUGGGUGACAGGGCUGUCACAAACAGACAAAGUUCACCAGACUCCUACUGCAAUACUAAAAGGACCUGAAGACAAAGUUAAUCUCACCUGCAGCCACACUGAUCAAAGCUACAACAUGAUACUGUGGUACCAACAGUCAGGCCAAAACACUGGUCUGAAACUCAUUGGGUAUGUGUGGAACACCAGUCCAACUGUGGAAGAUUCCUUUAAAGGGCGUUUUGAUGUCAGUGGAGAUGCUGCAGCUAAUAAAAUGGCGUAUCUACAUUUUCCCAAAGUGACAGAAGCUGAAGACAGUGCAGUGUAUUUCUGUGCUGCUAGUGAAGCACAGUGUUUCACUAUACCCUCUCUCCUCUACAAAAACCCUCUCUGAUCCUCUCAUAUAAUACUGACUACAG